UUCCCCAUAGAAGCCGCGGCAACCUCUUCCCAUGCUCGUCAAAAAAUGGAGCCGACGACGCUGCUGAAGCUUGGGGUAAACCCUUCUUCUCCUUCCUCUCUUCCUUCCCCUUUUUUCCAUGGCUUCGUGCACCCUUGCCGGCCUUCAGGAUCGUCAAAAAAUCUACGAAAAAUGGAACCCCUAUUUUGCUCUGUUUCAAUCGGACCUUUUUCUCUCUUUUUCGGCCACCGGUGCCACCAUUUGCGACGUCUCACCCCUAGGAUAGGAUCCUCACCUCUC
This 279-nucleotide long non-coding RNA is filed under the name Elaeis guineensis (African oil palm). RNAcentral's name for it is "long non-coding RNA (EGUI_LNC056873)". Lineage: Eukaryota; Viridiplantae; Streptophyta; Magnoliopsida; Arecales; Arecaceae. The record is from RNAcentral.